RNAcentral lists this transfer RNA (65 nucleotides) under Kapsa arca. RNAcentral's name for it is "tRNA-Leu". Lineage: Eukaryota; Metazoa; Arthropoda; Insecta; Hemiptera; Cicadellidae. The record is from RNAcentral.
AUUGAAUUGUCAGAUUUAUGUAUUAAAUUUAGAAUUUAAUUAAGUAAUUUAAAUUACAUUCAAUA